Long non-coding RNA from Globicephala melas (long-finned pilot whale), 662 nucleotides. RefSeq lists it as uncharacterized. The record is from RefSeq and is a predicted model, not a curated record. Lineage: Eukaryota; Metazoa; Chordata; Mammalia; Artiodactyla; Delphinidae.
CCUCCUCCCGCUCCUCUCCCCCUGGAGUGAAGACUGCCGCCGUGUCCUGUCCGCUGUUUGCUGCAUGCCAUGGGUGUCUCGCUCCAGGACCUUGCUUCAGAUGUGAAGUCACUGAAAAUUCUCUUAAGAGAUUAAGUGCCUACUUAGAAAACCUCCAGAAACCAGGCUUCAAGUCUUUGAAACCAACCCAACUUAUGUUUUUUGUAAGAGAAACAGACCAGAACUCUUCUGAUGGCCAGGAACACUUCAGCACUUCUGUUUAUCUAUUGAACAUAUCCAAAGCUUGAAUACUAAUGUGCACUCCCAGCCUCUCAAAGAGGCCACAAGGAUAUCUGACAGGCCCAUCAAAUGGGACAAGUCUUACUACUCCUUUACUGGAUUCAAGGACCCCGAUGAAGACCUCGAGCAAGUCUGGAGAAUGGAAACAACCCUAACCUUUUUGAAAGAUUACCGAGUUAUUUUGACCGGCAGAGGAGGCUGAUACUUCUGGAGGACCAAAUAAGCUAUCUUCUAGGUGGCAUCCAAGUUGUUUAUAUCGAAGAAUUACAGCCAGUGUUGACACUUGAAGAAUAUUACUCUCUUCUCGACGUGUUCUAUAAUAGACUCUUGAAAAGUCGAAUACCUUUUCACCCUCGAAGUUUGCGUGGUUUGCAAAUGAUCCU